RNAcentral lists this small RNA (307 nucleotides) under Octodon degus (degu). RNAcentral describes it as "7SK RNA (ENSODEG00000024792.1)". It matches the Rfam family "7SK RNA", at positions 1 to 261 of the family's 331-position model. From Rfam's summary of the family: 7SK was discovered as an abundant small nuclear RNA in the mid-70s but a possible function has only recently been suggested. Two independent studies have found that 7SK RNA binds the CDK9/cyclin T complex (known as elongation factor P-TEFb). The record is from Rfam by way of RNAcentral. Lineage: Eukaryota; Metazoa; Chordata; Mammalia; Rodentia; Octodontidae.
GGGUGUGAGGGCGAUCUGGCUGCGACAUCUGUCAUCCCAUUGAUCGCCAGGUUUGAUUCGGCUGAUCUGGCUGGCUAGGUGGGUGUCCACUUCCUCCCUCAGUGAUCCAUGUGGCGCACUCGGUCGAAGAGGAUGAUCACCCCCGAUAGAGGAGGACCAUUCCUCAGUCAAGGAUAUACAAGUAGCUGUGCUCCCCUGCUAGAACCUCCAAACAAAUCACUGUAUUUUCCAUGACUUUUCAGAUAUUUCUGAAUAGGUUAUCUAAAAAUGGCUGUAUAUUAUAUGUCUUUAAGUAUAGGGUCAAGUA